GGCUGAUCUGAGUGCAGUGGUGUUUACAACUAAUUCAUCACAACCAGUUACAGAGAUUUAUUUGUCCCAUCUCUACACCUAACUCCUUCAUUUAACUAGAAAA
Molecule: unclassified non-coding RNA, 103 nt
Organism: Homo sapiens (human)
Lineage: Eukaryota; Metazoa; Chordata; Mammalia; Primates; Hominidae
Rfam family: Y RNA
About the family: Y RNAs are components of the Ro ribonucleoprotein particle (Ro RNP), in association with Ro60 and La proteins. The Y RNAs and Ro60 and La proteins are well conserved, but the function of the Ro RNP is not known.
Source: Ensembl